GUCAGUGUAUAAGACUUGCUGGCGUUUGAUUCAAAGUUUUUGCGAUACUGGUUUUUUCCAUGUGCAAUCUUCGAUUCAAAUAGUUUCGCGGGGGGUUUCCCCGUUUUUAGUUAAGGAAGUAAUACACAUGGCAACUGGUACAGUAAAAUGGUUCAACGACGCAAAAGGUUUUGGUUUUGUUACUCCGGAUGAUGGCAGCGAAGAUUUGUUUGCACAUUUUUCCGCAAUUAACAUGAGUGGCUUCAAGUCUCUUCAAGAGGGCCAAAAGGUUACCUUUGAAGUGACACAAGGUCCUAAAGGUAAGCAAGCAUCCAAUAUUCAAGCUCCUUAAUCGGUUCUUGAUUUAAUAAAAAGGCCCGGCAUGAAACUGCCGGGCCUUUUUA
RNAcentral lists this small RNA (383 nucleotides) under Candidatus Nitrotoga sp. CP45. Its description in RNAcentral is "cspA thermoregulator". Lineage: Bacteria; Pseudomonadati; Pseudomonadota; Betaproteobacteria; Nitrosomonadales; Gallionellaceae. The record is from RNAcentral.